RNAcentral lists this long non-coding RNA (540 nucleotides) under Spirodela polyrhiza (greater duckweed). RNAcentral describes it as "long non-coding RNA (SPOL_LNC002102)". The record is from RNAcentral. Lineage: Eukaryota; Viridiplantae; Streptophyta; Magnoliopsida; Alismatales; Araceae.
UGUGUGUGUGUUUGUUUGUGUGUUGAGUGGAGUUGAGUGGAGUGGGCAUUGGGAGUAUCUUCCUGACAAGAACUUUCACCCUUUGAGAGGCCUUCAUUUUUCAAAAGGAAAAUAAUAAAGUAGACAAAGAAAAGCUCUCCUUGGCCCAUAGGCAUCAUGGGCGAAGUACAAUGAACAUCGUUAGGGGACAAGGGGGGCAUUAUAUUAGAUACAUGACCAAUUGGAGUGCAACAGGUCGAUAAGUUAUUGUAUAUACUUCCAAGCCAGUGGAAAUAAACAUGUCUUUUACAGAAGUUCUAUGAGACAAUCUAGUUUUUAUUUGUCGAAUUUUUCCUGCCAUUUAUGCGACUCAUAGUACGUUUUGGAACAGGGAGUAUGAACUAGAUCGCCUCCAAGAGUGCUAAAUAAGGGUGGGGUCCUGAAACGCUGAGAAUUGUCUCAUAUUCUUCCAUCAUAAUGUUCAGUCAUAUCUCUAUAUUCAUAUGCGUAUGCUACUAUUUAAUGCAAUGUAGAAUCCACGCAUCUUCUUGAGAUUUUCAA